Molecule: long non-coding RNA, 2221 nt
Organism: Cephus cinctus (wheat stem sawfly)
Lineage: Eukaryota; Metazoa; Arthropoda; Insecta; Hymenoptera; Cephidae
Exons: 8
Source: RefSeq, a predicted model, not a curated record
UUAGGACGGGUACUAAUCGGACUUUAUCGGUAUAGGAUCGUACCGAUCCACAUGAAAAAUGUCCUAACGGGGAUUCGAGUGUCGUCAGUUUGACGGGACGAUAACGAUAACGCAGAGCGACACUCCAUUAGGGAGCCGAUUUCGCGUUCCGCUUGGCGUCGCGACGCCUGAUGUUCAAACGUCUCCUAAUGUGUCUGCAAUCGGAUCGUUACUGGGAUGACUGAUUCAUCUCGUUGGAUGGCAUAUGCAGCGUUAUCAUAUCAUAAUAACAUGGACCAAAUCAGGUGGCCGUAUUUACACGCUCACGAUAAUUUCAUGAUUAUCAUGUAAUAUGAGGGAGCAUCACGAACGCCUGUGACCUAAUAGAAUCAGGAGCAACAAUACAAUAUUCCAGGAUGGCGGACAGGCUGAAAUGAAAAAAAAAAUAUAUAUAUAUACAUAUACAGUGUCGAUGCCUUGGAGACCCUCUCUCGGCCUGGAAAAUCUCUUUGGACCACCACCAGUGCAGGAAGUGCCACCACCGGGAGUUAACGGUACCAGCGCCAACUACCUCUGAGCAGGAGUGGGGGCGCCUGUCAAAAGGCAGGCAGGCAGGCAAGGCAGUGAUUUAGGCAGACAAGUAGGCAGGGUGGAAGUCAGGGUAGCCAACCCAGCUACACCGAGGGGUGGCGUGAACGACGAGCGACAGGUAGCCGACGGCACUCAUCGACAAGCCCCCCUACCGACCGCCUUGAACGACCCUGGUGACACUUGGUGUAAGGGGUAGGAUUUUACGUAGUUACCACAAUUCAUGACUGGCGACCAGUGCGAUGCAGUCGAAACGGUCUGGCACUCUUCAUCCCCUUUGGAUACGUGAUGCGAGAAGAAUCGAAGAUGAAAAAAAGAAGAGACGAGUCGGAGACGAUGUCAGAAUUAUGCUGGAAAAUUAAUUAGUGUCAAAACCGGAAGUCGUACUGGUAUCCCACAAAGAGCGUCGUGUUGGGGUUAUUACGUCGCUCUACAUCAAGAAAGGGUUUCGACGCCAUCUUGGAAUCCUACACAACAGUCCUACCACCUACUGGAAGUACGAUUUUCUACGUGCGUACCGCGCAUACCUAUACCCCAUACAUAAAUAAGGCGGUAGUACUGUGGGAUGUCGGCUAGUAGCAGUAAAUCCCGCGGGUGGCGCCCUCGUGGUCGAGGCAUAAAAAUGUCGCAGGACGAUAUCUACACCGAUAGGAUCACCGCCGAUUGUUGCCGGAUUGCCUUUCUCUAUUUGCCUCCCGCCACUUCCCCGUUAAACCUAUGCGCACACCAAACCCAACCUAACCUGACGUCUCACGUGGUCUCUUCGUUGACGGGUCUGAAACGUCAAGGACUGUAUGGUGGACUCGAUAUCAUCUAGCAGAAACAUCCCUACGCUACAAAGUGACUACCCUGGACUUGGUCCUACAUAGGGGAUGAUGUCCCACAGCUCUGGGUGACACAUCGUCCGUGUGAUGCGCAUCGAAUAUAAAAAUACACUAUCACUUACGGGAAGACAUCAGGGACAAAGAACUACCCUUAUUUCGACAUGUGUGCACCUAUGUACACACGGAUUGAACACCCUCCCGUAAGGGAUACGUGGUCCAGCGAGCACGUGACGUAGAGACAAUUCACUGAAGUGACGUACGAACUUUGGUAAAGUCACACUUACACGUGACUCUCACUCGUUUUACCUCGGCUUUGUUCGUGAAUCUUCGUGGAUACUCGACUUUAUUUGUACCCAUAGCUUUCACAUGUGGCGAUUGUGUGUACAAUGACAAGUGAAUUAAUAGAAUCGAUUCGCACCGGUUUUUCGUAUAAUCUGAUUAAACAGAACGUGUCGUUCGAUCGUGAAAAACAUAAUGAAACUUUAUCAGUAAAUUUACAAUGUUAUCGAAUCCUGUUUUAUUAAUAUAUUAAAUCCAACAGGAAUCUAAAUUCAAUAAUUUUGUAUUUUUUAAAAAUUCGCCAAAAUUCAAUAAUUCAUUGAUUACCCCAGACAGUUUCUGCGUAACGCGUCGAUAUAUCAACGCACAAGUAUCAUCCCUCAGGAAAAAUGAGUGCGUAGCGCCGAGUAGACAGUUGGCGAAAGUAAAACGUAUAGGAAGGAAAGUCGAGUGUUCAUUCGAAGAGUGGUUGUUGUAGGGAUGUGUAUAAAGAAGGGUAGUGGGGCUGCUCCCUUUACGCGGAAACUUAAUCAUAACAGCCUGUUAGCUAA